GACGGACGCUGGCGGCGUGCUUAACACAUGCAAGUCGAACGGAAAGGCCUGCUUUCCCUUGUGGAUUGCGGGUACUCGAGUGGCGAACGGGUGAGUAACACGUGAGUGAUCUGCCCCCAACUUGGGUAUAAGCCUGGGAAACUGGGUCUAAUUCCCGAUAGGACUGCAGGGUGGUGCCUGUGGUGGAAAACGAUUUUCUAGUGGUUGGGGAUGAGCCCGCGGCCUAUCAGCUUGUUGGGGGGGUAAUGGCCUACCAAGGCGGCGACGGGUAGCCGGCCUGAGAGGGUGGACGGCGACAUUGGGACUGAGAUACGGCCCAGACGCCUACGGGAGGCAGCAGUGGGGAAUAUUGCACAAUGGGCGGAAGCCUGAUGCAGCGACGCCGCGUGGGGGAUGACGGCCUUCGGGUUGUAAACUCCUUUCGACCGCGAGGAAGCCACCUGGUUGGAAGGGUGGUGACGGUAGUGGUAGAAGAAGCCCCGGCUAACUACGUG
RNAcentral lists this ribosomal RNA (494 nucleotides) under uncultured bacterium. RNAcentral describes it as "partial 16S ribosomal RNA". It matches the Rfam family "Bacterial small subunit ribosomal RNA", at positions 28 to 507 of the family's 1533-position model. The record is from RNAcentral.